This 253-nucleotide ribosomal RNA is filed under the name uncultured bacterium. RNAcentral describes it as "partial 16S ribosomal RNA". It matches the Rfam family "Bacterial small subunit ribosomal RNA", at positions 524 to 776 of the family's 1533-position model. The record is from RNAcentral.
UACGGGGGGAGCAAGCGUUGUUCGGAUUUACUGGGCGUAAAGGGCGCGUAGGUGGUUCUGUAUGUCUACCGUGAAAGCAUACGGCUCAACUGUAUUUUGUCGGUAGAAACUGCAGGACUUGAGGCUGGGAGGGGCUGGUGGAAUUCCCUGUGUAGCGGUGAAAUGCGUAGAGAUGGGGGAGAACACUCGUGGCGAAGGCGGCCAGCUAGACCAGUUCUGACACUGAGGCGCGACAGCGUGGGGAGCAAACAGG